RNAcentral lists this ribosomal RNA (253 nucleotides) under uncultured bacterium. Its description in RNAcentral is "partial 16S ribosomal RNA". It matches the Rfam family "Bacterial small subunit ribosomal RNA", at positions 524 to 776 of the family's 1533-position model. The record is from RNAcentral.
CACGUAGGGGGCGAGCGUUGUUCGGAAUUACUGGGCGUAAAGGGCAUGUAGGCGGCCCUAUAAGCCUGGCGUGAAAGUCACCGGCUCAACCGGUGGAUUGCGCUGGGAACUGUGGGGCUCGAGUCAUGGAGAGGGAGCUAGAAUUCCUGGUGUAGGGGUGAAAUCUGUAGAGAUCAGGAAGAAUACCAGUGGCGAAGGCGAGCUCCUGGCCAAUGACUGACGCUGAGGUGCGAAAGUGUGGGGAUCAAACAGG